UGGUUCUCCCCGAAAGCUAUUUAGGUAGCGCCUCGUGAAUUCAUCUCCGGGGGUAGAGCACUGUUUCGGCUAGGGGGCCAUCCCGGCUUACCAACCCGAUGCAAACUGCGAAUACCGGAGAAUGUUAUCACGGGAGACACACGGCGGGUGCUAACGUCCGUCGUGAAGAGGGAAACAACCCAGACCGCCAGCUAAGGUCCCAAAGUCAUGGUUAAGUGGGAAACGAUGUGGGAAGGCCCAGACAGCCAGGAUGUUGGCUUAGAAGCAGCCAUCAUUUAAAGAAAGCGUAAUAGCUCACUGGUCGAGUCGGCCUGCGCGGAAGAUGUAACGGGGCUAAACCAUGCACCGAAGCUGCGGCAGCGAACGUAUCACCCAAGACAACUUUACGGAGUUGACGAUUGACGGAGCGAAGCGACGUCAAAGCGUUCAUUAAAGUCGAGUUGGCUUAGGGAUACGUUCGUUGGGUAGGGGAGCGUUCUGUAAGCCUGUGAAGGUGUGUCGUGAGGCAUGCUGGAGGUAUCAGAAGUGCGAAUGCUGACAUAAGUAACGAUAAAGCGGGUGAAAAGCCCGCUCGCCGGAAGACCAAGGGUUCCUGUCCAACGUUAAUCGGGGCAGGGUGAGUCGACCCCUAAGGCGAGGCCGAAAGGCGUAGUCGAUGGGAAACGGGUUAAUAUUCCCGUACUUGGUGUUACUGCGAAGGGGGGACGGAGAAGGCUAUGUUGGCCGGGCGACGGUUGUCCCGGUUUAAGCGUGUAGGUGUGUGUUCCAGGUAAAUCCGGUUCACUUUAACACUGAGGCGUGACGACGAGGCACUACGGUGCUGAAGCAACAAAUGCCCUGCUUCCAGGAAAAGCCUCUAAGCAUCAGGUAACACGAAAUCGUACCCCAAACCGACACAGGUGGUCAGGUAGAGAAUACCAAGGCGCUUGAGAGAACUCGGGUGAAGGAACUAGGCAAAAUGGUGCCGUAACUUCGGGAGAAGGCACGCUGACACGUAGGUGAAGUGAUUUACUCAUGGAGC
Molecule: ribosomal RNA, 1021 nt
Filed under: Salmonella enterica subsp. enterica serovar Typhimurium
Lineage: Bacteria; Pseudomonadati; Pseudomonadota; Gammaproteobacteria; Enterobacterales; Enterobacteriaceae
Description: partial 23S ribosomal RNA
Rfam family: Bacterial large subunit ribosomal RNA
Source: RNAcentral